AGGACGAACGCUGGCGGCAGGCCUAACACAUGCAAGUCGAGCGCGUGUAGCAAUACACGAGCGGCAGACGGGAGAGUAACACGUGGGAACGCGCCCUUCGGUUCGGAAUAACUCAGGGAAACUUGAGCUAAUACCGGAUACGCCCUUACGGGGAAAGAUCUAUUGCCGAAGGAACGGCCCGCGUCCGAUUAGCUAGUUGGUGAGGUAACGGCUCACCAAGGCGACGAUCGGUAGCUGGUCUGAGAGGAUGACCAGCCUCACUGGGACUGAGACACGGCCCAGACUCCUACGGGAGGCAGCAGUGGGGAAUAUUGGACAAUGGGCGCAAGCCUGAUCCAGCCAUGCCGCGUGGGUGAUGAAGGCCCUAGGGUUGUAAAGCCCUUUCGGCGGGGAAGAUAAUGACGGUACCCGCAGAAGAAGCCCCGGCUAACUUCGUGCCAGCAGCCGC
This 448-nucleotide ribosomal RNA is filed under the name uncultured bacterium. RNAcentral describes it as "SSU rRNA". It matches the Rfam family "Bacterial small subunit ribosomal RNA", at positions 26 to 518 of the family's 1533-position model. The record is from RNAcentral.